AAACCCUGAAUGAACCUUUUGG
This 22-nucleotide microRNA is filed under the name Bos taurus (domestic cattle). RNAcentral describes it as "bta-miR-2285ay". Lineage: Eukaryota; Metazoa; Chordata; Mammalia; Artiodactyla; Bovidae. The record is from miRBase by way of RNAcentral.